RNAcentral lists this ribosomal RNA (372 nucleotides) under uncultured soil bacterium. RNAcentral's name for it is "bacterial SSU rRNA". It matches the Rfam family "Bacterial small subunit ribosomal RNA", at positions 1111 to 1482 of the family's 1533-position model. The record is from RNAcentral.
UUAGUUGCCACCAGGUCAAGCUGAGCACUCUAAAGGGACUGCCGGUGAAAAACCGGAGGAAGGUGGGGAUGACGUCAAGUCCUCAUGGCCUUUAUGUCCAGGGCUACACACGUACUACAAUGGGCGGUACAAUGAGUCGCAAACCCGCGAGGGGGAGCCAAUCUCAAUAAACCGCUCUCAGUUCGGAUUGCAGUCUGCAACUCGACUGCAUGAAGCUGGAAUCGCUAGUAAUCGCUGAUCAGCAAGCAGCGGUGAAUACGUUCCCGGGCCUUGUACACACCGCCCGUCACAUCACGAAAGCCAGUUGUACUAGAAGCCGGUGAUUCGACCGCAAGGAGAUAGCCGUCCAAGGUAUGACUGGUGAUUGGGGUG